GUGGUAUCUAUAAUGCACAUUGCAGUAAAGUAAACAAAAUUGACCUUCAUUAUUUGGAGUCUCUACAACUUAUUCCUAGGUGCAGAUGAAGAAGCCUACCUUGGGGAAUUUGCUACAUGGUGGCAUGAUGUGGGGUUGAGGUCUUCAGAAUUCUGUCUAGACAAAUGAGAUCCCUUCUAUUUCCAGGUCAUGCUUAAUGCCUGAGAUGGCAUGAGGAGAUUGGAUGCAUUUAAGGGCAGCACCCAUUUUAGCAAACUAUCAGCCUUCCAGUUUAACCAGGGGAGGAGAAGCAUCCAGUUGGGUAGGGCUACAAAGAAAGAUAUUGCUCUCAAUGGUGCCCAGAGACAUCUCACAUCUUCCAGCACAUUAAAGAACCACCCAAACCAUUCUCCAUGGGCUCUCCAGGUCAUUCCAAGAUUUUACUGCAUUGCUGCAGAACACCGCCACCUUUCUUGCCAGCUGGGGCUCCAUUACAAUGAAUCAGCAGCAAUGUUGGCAGCUGGGGUCGCUAAAUGUGAACGCUGGGGAUGGUGCUUACGUGGCAGAGGUGGAGAUGGAAUGAUUUGGAGAGGGUAACUAAUAAUAUACAACAUCUGAUGCAGAAGUGUUGCCAAUGAUUAAUUCUUAUAUUUUCCUCGUGUCUCAGGACAAGACAGUAAUACAUUGUGGUGAUGGAAUUGGUUGCACUGCAUUGAAUUUUAAAGAAAAAUAGAAAGGGAAGUAUUCAGUUUCAUUAGACCAGGUUCAAAUUUCUCCCUGACUUCUAUUUCAGCCUUCUGCUUCAGGGUCUAACUGGCCUGCCUGCGGCACCAUAUGCUUGCAUUUGACAUUGGUUUUACUAAUACCUUUGGAAAUAUAGAGCUAGAAGGAUUAUAUUGUAAAUCCUGAGAAGUAGAGUGUUACCGUGGGAAGGGCAAUGGAUUUGGAGUUCUGCUACUUAGGACCUGUGUGACCUUGAGUAAGUACUUAACCUCUUUGGGCCUCAACUUCCCCAUUUAUAAAAUGAAGGGGUUAGACUACAUGGCCUGAAAAGUCCCAUCCAGCUCUGAAUUUAUAAUUCUGUGACCUUCUCAUAUAUGUCUGUAAGGAACAGAGCUGGGAUUUGAACCCAGGCUGUUUAACUCCAAAGACUCAGCAUUUGUUUGAUUUCCCAACACUAUUUUCAAGGUGAAAAAGCUUUUUCAGUCAAAGUUAAGUGACAAAAGGUAACUUAGUCACCAAUAACUAUCUUGAAGCGGGC
RNAcentral lists this long non-coding RNA (1240 nucleotides) under Phascolarctos cinereus (koala). Its description in RNAcentral is "lncRNA (ENSPCIG00000015467.2)". Lineage: Eukaryota; Metazoa; Chordata; Mammalia; Diprotodontia; Phascolarctidae. The record is from RNAcentral.